AGUGGCGGACGGGUGAGUAACGCGUGAGAAUCUGCCUUGGGGUCGGGGACAACCACUGGAAACGGUGGCUAAUACCGGAUAAGCCGAUUGGUGAAAGAUUUAUUGCCCGAAGAGGAGCUCGCGUCUGAUUAGCUAGUUGGUGAGGUAAGAGCUCACCAAGGCAGCGAUCGUAGCUGGUCUGAGAGGACGAUCAGCCACACUGGGACUGAGACACGGCCCAGACUCCUACGGGAGGCAGCAGUGGGGAAUUUUCCGCAAUGGGCGAAAGCCUGACGGAGCAAGACCGCGUGAGGGAGGAAGGCUCUUGGGUUGUAAACCUCUUUUCUCAGGGAAGAAGCUCUGACGGUACCUGAGGAAUCAGCCUCGGCUAACUCCGUGCCAGCAGCCGCGGUAAUACGGAGGAGGCAAGCGUUAUCCGGAAUUAUUGGGCGUAAAGCGUCCGCAGGUGGCGAUUCAAGUCUGCUGUCAAAGCACGGGGCUUAACUCCGUAAAGGCAGUGGAAACUGAAUAGCUAGAGUGCCGUAGGGGUAGAGGGAAUUCCCGGUGUAGCGGUGAAAUGCGUAGAGAUCGGGAAGAACAUCGGUGGCGAAAGCGCUCUACUGGACGGCAACUGACACUCAGGGACGAAAGCUAGGGGAGCGAAUGGGAUUAGAUACCCC
Molecule: ribosomal RNA, 659 nt
Filed under: uncultured bacterium
Lineage: Bacteria
Description: bacterial SSU rRNA
Rfam family: Bacterial small subunit ribosomal RNA
Source: RNAcentral